CCAGUACCACUCAUAGGUGCUUAGCGACCAAGAAACUGGCUUCACAACGGAGGAGGAGCUGGAAAUGUUCUCAAAACUGUCCUGAAAGCAAGUAAUGCUUUCGGUCGUUGUCACCUUGCUGAGGAACAAGCUGCAACUUCGCUUUCUGAUUUCAUUCUCCCAGUGACAUUUUUCACACAGGCUCUGACAGAGACAGCAAUUAUAAAGACAUCCAGGUAGAGGGUUCAUUACAAACCAAGUCCAGCAGCUCGGUCCUAUUGAUUCAGCAGUAAACAAAGCCAAAGUGGACCCUCCCUUCAGGGAACCCACCUUCCACCUGGGAAGAGACGCAUUGAUGCGGUGAGAAUAAAUGUGAGUAACUCUGAAAAUGGGCGCA
Bos indicus x Bos taurus (hybrid cattle) is the source of this 376-nucleotide long non-coding RNA. The record is from Ensembl. NCBI's taxonomy places the organism in Eukaryota, Metazoa, Chordata, Mammalia, Artiodactyla, Bovidae.